RNAcentral lists this ribosomal RNA (253 nucleotides) under uncultured bacterium. RNAcentral's name for it is "partial 16S ribosomal RNA". It matches the Rfam family "Bacterial small subunit ribosomal RNA", at positions 524 to 776 of the family's 1533-position model. The record is from RNAcentral.
UACGUAGGACGCAAGCGUUGUCCGGAAUCACUGGGUGUAAAGGGUGCGUAGGCGGGAAGGUAAGUCAGUGGUGAAAUCUCACGGCUCAACCGUGAAACUGCCGUUGAUACUGCUUUUCUUGAGUUUGGGAGAGGUCGAUGGAAUUCCAGGUGUAGCGGUGAAAUUCGUAGAUAUUAGGAAGAACACCAGUGGCGAAGGCGGCUCACUGGUCCGGUACUGACGCUGAGGUGCGAAAGCGUGGGGAGCAAACAGG